Molecule: ribosomal RNA, 186 nt
Filed under: uncultured bacterium
Lineage: Bacteria
Description: partial 16S ribosomal RNA
Rfam family: Bacterial small subunit ribosomal RNA
Source: RNAcentral
GCCUUCAUGAAGCUGGAAUUGCUAGUAAUGGCAGGUCAGCAUACUGCCGUGAAUACGUUCCCGGGCCUUGUACACACCGCCCGUCACACCAUGAGAGUUGGGAAUACCCGAAGCCUGUGAGCUAACUUUUAGAGGCAGCAGUCGAAGGUAGAAUCAAUGAUUGGGGUGAAGUCGUAACAAGGUAGC